This 74-nucleotide transfer RNA is filed under the name Candidatus Pacearchaeota archaeon. RNAcentral describes it as "tRNA-Arg". It matches the Rfam family "tRNA". Rfam says of the family: Transfer RNA (tRNA) molecules are approximately 80 nucleotides in length. Their secondary structure includes four short double-helical elements and three loops (D, anti-codon, and T loops). The record is from RNAcentral. Lineage: Archaea; Nanobdellati.
GCCCCUGUAGCUCAGCCUGGAUAGAGCGACUGCCUUCUAAGCAGUAGGUCGCAGGUUCGAAUCCUGUCGGGGGC